This 253-nucleotide ribosomal RNA is filed under the name uncultured bacterium. Its description in RNAcentral is "partial 16S ribosomal RNA". It matches the Rfam family "Bacterial small subunit ribosomal RNA", at positions 524 to 776 of the family's 1533-position model. The record is from RNAcentral.
UACGUAGGUGGCAAGCGUUGUCCGGAUUUACUGGGCGUAAAGAGCGCGCAGGCGGUCGUAUAAGUCGAAUGUGAAAGCCCCCGGCUCAACUGGGGAGGGUCAUUCGAUACUGGCGGGCUCGAGGCAGGUAGGGGGAAGCGGAAUUCCCGGUGUAGUGGUGGAAUGCGUAGAUAUCGGGAGGAACACCAGUGGCGAAGGCGGCUUCCUGGACCUGUUCUGACACUGAGGAGCGAAAGCGUGGGGAGCGAUCCGG